GACGAACGCUGGCGGCGUGCCUAAUACAUGCAAGUAGAACGCUGAAGGAGGAGCUUGCUUCUCUGGAUGAGUUGCGAACGGGUGAGUAACGCGUAGGUAACCUGCCUGGUAGCGGGGGAUAACUAUUGGAAACGAUAGCUAAUACCGCAUAAUAGUAGAUGUUGCAUGACAUUUGCUUAAAAGGUGCAAUUGCAUCACUACCAGAUGGACCUGCGUUGUAUUAGCUAGUUGGUGGGGUAACGGCUCACCAAGGCGACGAUACAUAGCCGACCUGAGAGGGUGAUCGGCCACACUGGGACUGAGACACGGCCCAGACUCCUACGGGAGGCAGCAGUAGGGAAUCUUCGGCAAUGGUCGGAAGUCUGACCGAGCAACGCCGCGUGAGUGAAGAAGGUUUUCGGAUCGUAAAGCUCUGUUGUAAGAGAAGAACGAGUGUGAGAGUGGAAAGUUCACACUGUGACGGUAUCUUACCAGAAAGGGACGGCUAACUACGUG
RNAcentral lists this ribosomal RNA (495 nucleotides) under uncultured bacterium. Its description in RNAcentral is "partial 16S ribosomal RNA". It matches the Rfam family "Bacterial small subunit ribosomal RNA", at positions 28 to 507 of the family's 1533-position model. The record is from RNAcentral.